GGUGACCGAUCCCACAAUAAAUAAUGCUGUCCUUUAAGCGGCAAGAAAAAUUUCCGGCAUAGUUAGUUUAGAUGGAGGGGACCAAUCAUCUAAACAGCCCUUGGAAGUUAUAGUUCAUCCCUGAGGUGCGACCUAAAAAAGGGACCUAAGCUAUCCCAGGCACCCCAACUUAUUGCUCUAUGCCAGAUCUAAACCUGGGAACCAC
This 205-nucleotide long non-coding RNA is filed under the name Elaeis guineensis (African oil palm). RNAcentral describes it as "long non-coding RNA (EGUI_LNC000455)". Lineage: Eukaryota; Viridiplantae; Streptophyta; Magnoliopsida; Arecales; Arecaceae. The record is from RNAcentral.